CCGGUGCCUCGGGCCUUGAUCACGCGCCGUCUUCGAGUACAACUUUCUCGGGGCAUUCUCUGGAUAAAACAAUACAGAUACCUCGAGGUAUUUUCCGGCCAAAUAGUACAAUUGUUCCAAGUGUGACAAGACAAAACCAUUCAACAUACAUUUUUAACAUUCACCAAUCCAUAAUUCUUACAUUUUCCUACCCCCUAUCGUUUGCCUAAUAAUUAUCGACCUAAAACAUGAGACUAUCAGAUUUAACAAAGUCGAUGCUUAUUCUGAUAUAAGACAACAAUGGGAGACAUGAAAUUGGCUCAAAAUAGUCCAAACAUACACCAAAAUAAUAGUCCACAAGUUCAAGAGAACCAAGAUGGUGAUCACUCUCGGAUUCAAGAAUAACAAUAAGAACACGAUAUAACAAGGUGUUUAACACCUAUCUCAGCCAAAAAUCCCAAACUAUAUUACAACAAUAAAAUGAAGAACAAUAAUUUUACCACAACAAGACCCCCACGGUUCAACAACAAGACAAGGAAAACCAAAACUAAAACAAGAUACAAGAUAGAGAGUUAGACAAGUAAUGUUAUAAUAUUAAGAACCCAAGAGCAUAUUCCACUCUUGGACCUUUAACACUACAGACACCAAACACCUAACUCCUACGUUGACACAAGAGUGACUUUACCUCCUCUAAACACCAAUGUCUCAAGCCAAAAUGCAACACAAGUGUCUCCACACUUGGAGGCCCUAGUUACGGGUGGGGGUGGCUUUUCAAAGCCCUACUCUAAAGUGAUACACUCUCAAGAGAGAGACUUAGGUGUUACAAAUAUUUCAUGUCUUGACAAUAAUCAACCAAAUGUAAAAUGAACCCUAAAGAACUACUUAUAGCUAUUACAAAAUAAGGAAAAAAUGACCUCCCUACCCUUAAUGAGGGGAGCCUAUGGAGUGUAUUUUGGGCACAAUGAAGUGACCAAAAUGCCCUUAAUAAAGCUGCCCCAAAAUGAAGUGAGCCAUUAAGGGUCCAAACCCAAGAGUCCUCAAGUCUUCAAGGCUCCAACCAACCUUCCACACUCGGGUUUGUUUAAUGAUGUGCUCAAAACGAGACUUCCUUGCAUAUCCUUGUGCUCUCAGGGUGACCAAGUCUUGAGUCUUUAGGUGUUGGCCUCCAAAGAUGUCAUCAAAAGCUAAGACGGUAAUUUGACUUGUAUAUUCCGAAUCAAACGACUAUUAAUGAAUCAAUAUAAAUCAAUAUUCACUUUUAUCAAUGUUUCAAUUCCCACCCUUAAUUCUAUUCUUAAAUUAUCGACUUCUCAUUCAAAUCAAAAUUAAGCAAUCAUUGAUCAAAUCAUAUCCAAUUUCCUUAUCCAAGAGCAUUCAAAUCAUUCAACAUAAUUCCAGCAAUUCCACAUGAUCACAAUAACACAUAUUCAAGCACUUUCCAUCAUAAGCACACAAAAAUCAAAUAAAUUUAAUGAAGUUAAAAGAGAACAAAAGUAGAAUUGGACCUCAAUUUGAAGCUUUUGAACUCAAAUAAUAUUCGAAUGAGGAGAUGAAAAUUGCAUUUGGAAACCCUGAAUCAAACCUGGAUACGAACAGACCGAACUCGGCAUACCCUUUACUGUUUUUUGCCAAUACGAACCAGUAAUUGCGAAAGAGACAAAAGAAUGGACUGAGUGGAAGGGUAUUUCCGGCAACCUUCGCUGGUAACGGAGACAGAGGGUGGUGUUGAUCCAUUUUUCUCUUUGAUUUUCACCCCUUCUCUCACAUCUGUGUAUUUGUUCGCACUUAGGCGAAAACCUCAGUGUCUUCCGAUGUCUGGUGGAUGUAUCGGGUUCACUGGUGAUGUCGAAUUUUGGUGAAGUUUUUCCAAAAAAGAUGGAGUAGCGUGAACUGAUUUCUCUCCCAGCUCCCCUUGUUGUUUCUCUUUUCUCUCAUGCCUCAAUCUCUCUAUGAGUGGAGUCCGUUAGCUGUGUGUACGUGAAUUCAUUUUCUAGUGAGCUCCCUUCACCAUGUGUGUAUUAGUGUGAUGUGAGUGUGUGUGAAUGCGUAUGUAGAAAAAGAAUCUGAGAGGCGUAUAUGUGUGUUCUCUAUAGAAGAAAA
This 2079-nucleotide long non-coding RNA is filed under the name Capsicum annuum. Its description in RNAcentral is "long non-coding RNA (CANN_LNC004421)". Lineage: Eukaryota; Viridiplantae; Streptophyta; Magnoliopsida; Solanales; Solanaceae. The record is from RNAcentral.